AUAUAUACGGCCUUUUGGCUAAGAUCAAGUGUAGUAUCUGUUCUUAUCAGUUUAAUAUCUGAUACGUCCCCUACCCGGGGACCAUAUAUUAAAUUGAUUGUUGGAACUGGGAGAUGGAAUAGGGGCUUGCUCCGUCCACUCCACGCAUCGACCUGGUAUUGCAGUACCUCCAGGAACGGUGCACUUCCC
This is a small nuclear RNA of 189 nucleotides. Its record names the gene U2. It matches the Rfam family "U2 spliceosomal RNA". Rfam says of the family: U2 is a small nuclear RNA (snRNA) component of the spliceosome (involved in pre-mRNA splicing). The record is from Ensembl.